GCCUUCGUGGUGUAGUGGUCAGCACGCUCGGCGCGUAUUCGAGAGAUCCGUGGUUCGAGUCCCGGCGAGGGCA
Stegodyphus mimosarum is the source of this 73-nucleotide non-coding RNA. Lineage: Eukaryota; Metazoa; Arthropoda; Arachnida; Araneae; Eresidae. The record is from Rfam.